CCUACGGGUGGCUGCAGUAAGGAAUAUUGGUCAAUGGACGAAAGUCUGAACCAGCCAUCCCGCGUGCAGGAUGAAAGCCCUAUGGGUUGUAAACUGCUUUUAGCAGAGAAGAAAAGCUUUCAUUAAUGAGAGUCUGACGGUAUCUGCAGAAUAAGCACCGGCUAACUCCGUGCCAGCAGCCGCGGUAAUACGGAGGGUGCGAGCGUUAUCCGGAAUUACUGGGGCGAAGGGGGACGUAGGCGGAGGUUGUGAAAGGCUGUGGCUUAACCAUGGAAUUGCCAUUGAUACUGCAGAGCUUGAAUGAGGUUGAGGUUGGCGGAAUGUGACAUGUAGCGGUGAAAUGCUUAGAUAUGUCAUGGAACACCGAUUGCGAAGGCAGCUGACUGGACCUAUAUUGACGCUGAGGCACGAAAGCGUGGGGAGCGAACAGGAUUAGAUACCCCUGUAGUC
RNAcentral lists this ribosomal RNA (450 nucleotides) under uncultured bacterium. Its description in RNAcentral is "partial 16S ribosomal RNA". It matches the Rfam family "Bacterial small subunit ribosomal RNA", at positions 338 to 795 of the family's 1533-position model. The record is from RNAcentral.